GGGGUUGUGGCUCAGUGGUAGAGUGCUUGCCUCGCAUGUGUGGGACCCUGGGUUCGAUCCUCAGCAACACAU
Non-coding RNA from Ictidomys tridecemlineatus (thirteen-lined ground squirrel), 72 nucleotides. The record is from Rfam. NCBI's taxonomy places the organism in Eukaryota, Metazoa, Chordata, Mammalia, Rodentia, Sciuridae.